Molecule: ribosomal RNA, 484 nt
Filed under: uncultured bacterium
Lineage: Bacteria
Description: partial 16S ribosomal RNA
Rfam family: Bacterial small subunit ribosomal RNA
Source: RNAcentral
AUUGAACGCUGGCGGCAGGCCUAACACAUGCAAGUCGAGCGGAUGAAGGGAGCUUGCUCCUGGAUUCAGCGGCGGACGGGUGAGUAAUGCCUAGGAAUCUGCCUGGUAUUGGGGGAUAACGUCCGGAAACGGGCGCUAAUACCGCAUACGUCCUGAGUGUGAACGUGGGGGUUCUUCGGACCUCACGCUAUCAGAUGACCCUAAGUCGGGUUAGCUAGUUGGUGGGGUAAGGGCCUACAAAGGCGACGAUCCGUAACUGGUCUGAGAGGGUGACCAGUCACACUGGAACUGAGACACGGUCCAGACUCCUACGGGAGGCAGCAGUGGGGAAUAUUGGACAAUGGGCGAAAGCCUGAUCGAGCCAUGCCGCGUGUGUGAAGAAGGUCUUCGGAUUGUAAAGCACUUUAAGUUGGGAGGAAGGGCAGUAAGUUAAUACCUUGCUGUUUUGACGUUACCAACAGAAUAAGCACCGGCUAACUUCGUG